This is a small nuclear RNA of Callithrix jacchus (white-tufted-ear marmoset), 121 nucleotides long. Its record names the gene U1. It matches the Rfam family "U1 spliceosomal RNA". From Rfam's summary of the family: U1 is a small nuclear RNA (snRNA) component of the spliceosome (involved in pre-mRNA splicing). Its 5' end forms complementary base pairs with the 5' splice junction, thus defining the 5' donor site of an intron. There are significant differences in sequence and secondary structure between metazoan and yeast U1 snRNAs, the latter being much longer (568 nucleotides as compared to 164 nucleotides in human). The record is from Ensembl. NCBI's taxonomy places the organism in Eukaryota, Metazoa, Chordata, Mammalia, Primates, Cebidae.
AUACUUAACAGGGGAGAUACCAUGAUCACGAAGGUGGUUUUCUCAGGGCGAGGCUUAUCCAUUGCACUCUGGAUGUGCUGACCCCUGCGAUUUUCCCAAAUAAAGAAAAAAAAAACAAAAC